Molecule: ribosomal RNA, 253 nt
Filed under: uncultured bacterium
Lineage: Bacteria
Description: partial 16S ribosomal RNA
Rfam family: Bacterial small subunit ribosomal RNA
Source: RNAcentral
UACGGAGGAUGCAAGCGUUAUCCGGAAUCAUUGGGCGUAAAGCGUCCGCAGGUGGCUAAUCAAGUCUGCUGUUAAAGACAGAAGCUCAACUUCUGAUAGGCAGUGGAAACUGGUUAACUAGAGUAUGGUAGGGGUUGAGGGAAUUCCCAGUGUAGCGGUGAAAUGCGUAGAUAUUGGGAAGAACACCAGUGGCGAAGGCGCUCAACUGGGCCAUAACUGACACUCAGGGACGAAAGCUAGGGUAGCGAAAGGG